CCUACGGGAGGCAGCAGUGAGGAAUAUUGGUCAAUGGGCUUACGCCUGAACCAGCCAAGUCGCGUGAGGGAAGACUGCUCUAUGGGUUGUAAACCUCUUCUGCCAGGGAGCAACGCCGGCUACGUCUAGCCGGACUGAGAGUACCUGAAGAAAAAGCAUCGGCUAACUCCGUGCCAUCAUCCGCGGUAUUGCGGAGGAUGCGAGCGUUAUCCGGAUUUAUUGGGUUAAAAGGGUGCGUAGGCGGAAUGCCAAGUCAGCGGGAAAAUCGUGGGGCUCAACCUCGCUCCGCCGUUGAAACUGGCGUUCUGGAGUGGGCGAGAGGUAUGCGGAAUGCGUGGUGUAGCGGUGAAAUGCGUAGAUAUCACGCAGAACUCCGGUUGCGAAGGCAGCAUACCGGCGCCCAACUGACGCUGAAGCACGAAAGCGUGGGUAUCGAACAGGAUUAGAUACCCGAGUAGUC
This 460-nucleotide ribosomal RNA is filed under the name uncultured bacterium. RNAcentral describes it as "partial 16S ribosomal RNA". It matches the Rfam family "Bacterial small subunit ribosomal RNA", at positions 338 to 795 of the family's 1533-position model. The record is from RNAcentral.